GAUGAACGCUGGCGGCGUGCUUAACACAUGCAAGUCGAACGGUGAAGGCCGUGCGUGUUCUGAUGGGUGAGUGGCGAACGGGUGAGUAACACGUGAGUAACCUGCCCUUGACUCUGGGAUAACGACAGGAAACGGAGUCUAAUACGGGAUACGAGCUGCGAAGGCAUGGUCCGAGGAGGAAAGGUGGGUCGGUCGGGGAUGGUCUGGCGGCCUAUCAGCUUGUUGGUGGGGUAGUGGCUGACCAAGGCGUGGACGGGUAGCCGGCCUGAGAGGGUGACCGGCCACACUGGGACUGAGACACGGCCCAGACUCCUACGGGAGGCAGCAGUGGGGAAUAUUGCACAAUGGGCGCAAGCCUGAUGCAGCAACGCCGCGUGUGGGACGACGGCUUUCGGGUUGUAAACCGCUUUCCGCUGGGACGAAGCGCUAGUGACGGUACCUGCAGAAAAAGCACCGGCUAACUACGUG
RNAcentral lists this ribosomal RNA (468 nucleotides) under uncultured bacterium. RNAcentral's name for it is "partial 16S ribosomal RNA". It matches the Rfam family "Bacterial small subunit ribosomal RNA", at positions 28 to 507 of the family's 1533-position model. The record is from RNAcentral.